AUUCAGAAAGAACCAAUCAGGAGAGAGCAGGCAAACAAGAAUAGAAGUUCUCACUCUGGUCUGCGGGUUUUAGGCUGUUUUUGGCUUGAAGGUGGGGUUUCACUGGGGACCCACCCCUAUCUUCCUAGGAUUUCUUUGCCUCCUGCCUCUAUUAAUUUGCAAGCAACACAAGCUCAUGAAGGGGCUCCAGUCCCUCUCCAGAUUCCAGGGCUUUGUGGUGUGGCAGGAUGAGUGGCCACACUUGAAAGACUCAGGAGACAGCGAGGUUUAACCUAAAGCCAUGAGCUGGGAAUCCACUCAAGCAGGAGGCUGAAAAUGCAAAUAUAGGAAAGUACAGUGACUGUGGAGUGGGGAUGCUGCAAGAACAAUCAGAUGUUCUACGUGGAAUCCAUCGCUGAGCACACCAGCUUGGCAGCAGUUCAUUACCUACGGUGUAGUAGUAAUUGCACCAUGAAGAAAUUUUCUGUAACCAAUUCCAGCAAUAAUUAGAUUAGAUACUUAUUUAGUGCAGAUUUCAAUAAAGCUGCAAUGUUAACUUCAUGUUCAAAUGAACAAGACUGUUUUGCAGAGAUCAAAUGACACCACA
RNAcentral lists this long non-coding RNA (586 nucleotides) under Homo sapiens (human). RNAcentral's name for it is "HSALNT0345814". The record is from RNAcentral. Lineage: Eukaryota; Metazoa; Chordata; Mammalia; Primates; Hominidae.